UGCGGAUGGAGCUGAGACCAGUCGAAGAUACCAGCUGGCUGCAACUGUUUAUUAAAAACACAGCACUGUGCAAACACGAAAGUGGACGUAUACGGUGUGACGCCUGCCCGGUGCCGGAAGGUUAAUUGAUGGGGUUAUCCGUAAGGAGAAGCUCUUGAUCGAAGCCCCGGUAAACGGCGGCCGUAACUAUAACGGUCCUAAGGUAGCGAAAUUCCUUGUCGGGUAAGUUCCGACCUGCACGAAUGGCGUAAUGAUGGCCAGGCUGUCUCCACCCGAGACUCAGUGAAAUUGAACUCGCUGUGAAGAUGCAGUGUACCCGCGGCAAGACGGAAAGACCCCGUGAACCUUUACUAUAGCUUGACACUGAACAUUGAGCCUUGAUGUGUAGGAUAGGUGGGAGGCUUUGAAGCGUGGACGCCAGUCUGCGUGGAGCCAACCUUGAAAUACCACCCUUUAAUGUUUGAUGUUCUAACGUUGGCCCCUUACCGGGGUUGCGGACAGUGUCUGGUGGGUAGUUUGACUGGGGCGGUCUCCUCCCAAAGCGUAACGGAGGAGCACGAAGGUUAGCUAAUCCUGGUCGGACAUCAGGAGGUUAGUGCAAUGGCAUAAGCUAGCUUGACUGCGAGCGUGACGGCGCGAGCAGGUGCGAAAGCAGGUCAUAGUGAUCCGGUGGUUCUGAAUGGAAGGGCCAUCGCUCAACGGAUAAAAGGUACUCCGGGGAUAACAGGCUGAUACCGCCCAAGAGUUCAUAUCGACGGCGGUGUUUGGCACCUCGAUGUCGGCUCAUCACAUCCUGGGGCUGAAGUAGGUCCCAAGGGUAUGGCUGUUCGCCAUUUAAAGUGGUACGCGAGCUGGGUUUAGAACGUCGUGAGACAGUUCGGUCCCUAUCUGCCGUGGGCGCUGGAGAAUUGAGGGGGGCUGCUCCUAGUACGAGAGGACCGGAGUGGACGCAUCACUGGUGUUCGGGUUGUCAUGCCAAUGGCACUGCCCGGUAGCUAAAUGCGGAAGAGAUAAGUGCUGAAAGCAUCUAAGCACGAAACUUGCCCCGAGAUGAGUUCUCCCUGAGACUUUAAGUCUCCUGAAGGAACGUUGAAGACGACGACGUUGAUAGGCCGGGUGUGUAAGCGCAGCGAUGCGUUGAGCUAACCGGUACUAAUGAACCGUGAGGCUUAACCUU
This 1177-nucleotide ribosomal RNA is filed under the name Klebsiella pneumoniae. RNAcentral describes it as "partial 23S ribosomal RNA". It matches the Rfam family "Bacterial large subunit ribosomal RNA", at positions 1756 to 2925 of the family's 2925-position model. The record is from RNAcentral. Lineage: Bacteria; Pseudomonadati; Pseudomonadota; Gammaproteobacteria; Enterobacterales; Enterobacteriaceae.